Molecule: long non-coding RNA, 2878 nt
Filed under: Medicago truncatula (barrel medic)
Lineage: Eukaryota; Viridiplantae; Streptophyta; Magnoliopsida; Fabales; Fabaceae
Description: long non-coding RNA (MTRU_LNC006373)
Source: RNAcentral
UUCUCUUGACUUUUCUUCUACAGCAAUGACAUCAUUGGUUUCUGUAGACUGUUCUGGAAUUGAAGAUGCGUUUGGUUGCUCCUCUUCCCUUCGUUCCGUUGAAUGUUGUUCUGGUUCUUUCUGAUUUUCCUCAACUUCAGUAACCACAGGUUCACCUUUUACUGUUUCUGUAGGCUCAACUUCAGUAGCCACAGGUUCUUCUUUUACCGUUUCUGUAGCUUGAACUUCAGUAGCCACAGGUUCUUCUUUUACCAUUUCUCUAGGAUCAACUUCAGUAACCACAGGUUUGACUUUUACUGAUUCUGUCAGAUCAACUUCAGUAACCAGGGGUUCUUUUACUGUUUUUGUAAUUUCAACUUCUGUAGCCACAGCUUCUUCUUUUACUGUCUCUGUAGGAUCAACUUCAGUAACUAUAGGUUCGUCUUUUACCGUUUCUGUUGCCUCGAAUUCAGUAGCUGCAGGUUCAUCUUUUACCAUUUCUGUAGGCUCAACUACAGUUGUCACAGGUUCUUCUUUUACGGUUUCUGUAGCUUCAACUUCAGUAGCCACAGAUUCUUCUUUUACUGUUUCUGUAGCUUCAACUUCAGUAGCCACUGGUUCUUCUUUUACUGUUUCUGUAGCUUCAACUUCAGUAGCCACUGGUUCUUCUUUUACUGUUUCUGUAGCUUCAACUUCAGUAGCUGCAGGUUCGUCUUUUACCGUUUCUGUAGCCUCAACUUCAGUUGCCACAGGUUCUUCUUUUACCGUUUCUGUAGGCUCAACUUCAGUAGCCACGGGUUCUUCUUUUACUGUUUCUGUAGCUUCAGCUUCAGUAGCUAGAGGUUCUUCUUUUACCGUUUCUGUAGGAUCAACUUCAGUAACCACAGGUUCGUCUUUUACGGUUUCUGUAACCUUAACUUCAGUAGCUGCAGGUUCUUCUUUUACUGUUUCCGUAGCCUCAACUUCAGUAGCCACAAGUUCUUCUUUUAGUGUUUCUGUAGCCUCAACUUCAGUAACCACGGGUUCUUCUUUUACUAUCUCUGCAGUCGCAACUUCGGUAACCAUGGGUUCUUCUUUCACUGUUUCUGUAGGCUCCACUUCGAUGAUUUUGGUCUCUUCCGAUAUCGCUGCUGCUGUCUUCUCCUCAUUGGCCUCGACUGUAGAUUCAACAAUUGCAAUUGCUUUUGGUUGCUCUGCCUCUUCUGAUUUUUCUUGUGAUUCUUUUUCCGGUUCUUUUGUUACUUUCGGCUCUUCUGUGGCCAGAGGCUCAAGCUCGGGCUUUUCUUCCUUUUCGGCACUUGUUUCUGAAAUUUCAGCUUGUUUCACCUUCUCUUCAAAUUGAUUAGUCUCAGUCGCAUCACUUGAUUUUUCAGUGGUUUCAGCUUCUGGAAUAUCUUCUAUCUUGGGUUGAUUCUCUUCAUUGGUUUCUACAAGUUCCUUUUCUAUCUGCUGUGAUGUUUCCUUCGCAUCAGAUUCAGUGGAUGGUGUCUCAUCAUGAUGGCUUAUCGCUGUAUCAUUUACUGGUUCUGUGACACUGAUAGUUUCUGAUUCAGUUAUCAGAUCUUUCUCCUCUUUCGGAUUAUCUGAAACAGUUUCUAUUGGUACAGAAUCAUCAGUUUUUUCUGCAGCAACAGCAGGCUCAGCCUUCACUUCAUCUUCUUUUUCUACACCUGGAUUUUGUGCAUCAUCAAUUAUGUCAGGUUUCAGACUAUCUUCAGCAGAAACAUUCAAUGCUGAAGAAUCAUCAGACUUUUCAAUCUCUGCUGCUGCAAGCUCAGCCUUAAUCUCAUCACCUUCUGUCGUGGAUGAAGGAGUAGCCUGACCUUGUGCAUCGUCAGGCUUGCCAUCAUGUUUGUCUCCAUCUUCAUUGGCUAGGGAAUUGAUCUUUUCUGCAAUAGCUUCGUCCUUUUCCGGGUUCACAAUAUCUUCAACAAAAUCCUUCAAUGCGGAAGAAUCGUCAGACCUUUCGAUCUCUCCUGCUGCAAGCUCAGUCUUCACUUCAUCUCCUUCUGUAUUCGACGAAGGAGUGGCUUGACUUUGUGUAUUGUCCGGCUUGUCGUCGUGUUUGUCUCCUUCUUCAUUGGCUAGGGAAUUCAUCUUUUCCGCAAUAGCUUCGUCCUUUUCCAGCUUCACAAUAUCUUCAACUGAAACCUUCAAUGCUGAAGAAUCAUCAGACUUUUCAAUCUCUUCUGCUGCAAGCUCAGCCUUCACCUCAUCUUCUAUCUUCGAUGAAGGAGUGGCUUGACCUUGUGCAUUGUCUGGCUUGUCAUUAUGUUUGUCUCCGUCUUCAUUGGCUAGAGAAUUCAUCUUUUCCGCAAUAGCUUCGUCCUUUUCCUGCUUCACAAAUUGCUGUAUAAUAAAAGAUAUAAAAACAUUAAUAGUUAAAUCGGUAGUGCUUACUGAAGAGACGUAUAUGUAUCAACAAAAAUGGACGUUUUGAAAAGAAAGAAAACAAACUAGCGAACAUUUUAUGAAACAUGGUAAUUUGAAACCAGUAGUGAAAGUAAGGAGCUCAUGGCCAAACUAAGGAUGUGUUAGGAUUGACUUAUUUCAGUGUAUUUUCUUGCAUAAGCAAGCACUUGUAACGCUGUUUGAGAGAGCUUAUAGAAACAAUUUAUGACAUGUCCAUAAGUUGUUCUCGGCUUAUUUUCUUAAGCUCCCAAUGAUAGCUUAUAUCGAAAUAGUUCUAUUUUAUCUUCCGUUAUAGAAAUAACUUAUACAAGAGCAUUUAUAUCAUAACAGCUUAUGUAACAAAAACAUAAUUAAGUUGUUUAUCCAAACAGGUCCUAAAGCAGUGAUAUGAAGGAUUCUUUUCACAUAAAUAGAUUUGAAACAUUCUCACAUAACAAGAAAACACAGAUGGAGGAAUCACUGGAAAGUUUAUACUUGCAAAAAGCAC